Molecule: long non-coding RNA, 1380 nt
Organism: Canis lupus familiaris (dog)
Lineage: Eukaryota; Metazoa; Chordata; Mammalia; Carnivora; Canidae
Exons: 3
Source: RefSeq, a predicted model, not a curated record
UUUUCCUAAUAAAGAAGCAACUUUCUGUCCUUUUCUUUUCUGUAUUUCCACUGCUACCAUCGUAAUUCUACGUUGUUUUUCACCUGGACUUUUGCAGUUUCCGGCUAGGUGGUGUCACCACAUUAUGUAUACAAGAUGUAUUGAAAUACUUCCUGAAAAAAAUGAUGUAAUGUUUUGGAUUUGCUUUAAAAAGAAUGUAGAACAUAGGGAGGAAGGACCGGGAGAAUUGAGAUUGCCCUCUUUCCACUCAUCUAAGCCGACCCAACUUGGUGGUUGAGCAGAAGGAAAAUGUGGGUGGUCGUUUCCAGUUUGGGGAAAAGCAAAAAGGAAUAUGAGAAUAGAGAGCCAAUGGAGAACUUUUGCCUUCCAUCUGGGAGAAGUUGCGAGAGGCUGAGAUAGAGAGGUAGGCUUUGUUUUGUUUUAUUUUGUUUUUGGUGGUGCUGCUGUGCACCUAUAAUUCACUCUUUCCUUUAACAUUUGCUAGAGAGGUAGAGCAAAGAAUUGAAAUAGUCGUAAUUAAAGUUGUUGGGUUGUGUUUUUUCUGAACAUGACCCUGAGCUGAGAAUAGGCCAUGUGAAGCUCUAGGUUUUAUUUGGGUUACAUAGUAAACUGAGGUAAGAUAACAAGCAAGAACCAAAAAAGAAUGAUAUGGGCAAAAUGUGUCCAGUGAUGUGUCCAAAAUGUGUUUAGACACCUGAGGGCUGCUGGAAGUGAGAAGGGCUGAUAGAGGAGGCAGGAUUUGAUAUUGAGGAGGGCAGAAGGUUUGGUUGGUUAAGCCAGUCAAGUAAAAAGAUUGGGAAUAUGCAUAGAAAAUCACCUGCACCUGGGGACAAAGCAGAGAGUUUGUGUUGGGAUGCAGUAGGGUGAGUGGUAACACAGACAGCUAACGUUUAUUGAGCGCUUACUAUAUGCCAGAUGCUGAUCUAAAUGCUCAUUUAGAUCCUUGUUAAAUGAUCCUAAAAACUCAUUUUAAUCCUCGGUAAAACAUGGAAUGGCUAACCCGUUUGCCAGAGGUCACACAGGGAAAGGACAGGAAAAGACAGGGCCAAGGUAUCUGAGUGACCAGGCAGCAAGAGAUCAUCGGGAGGAGAGCUGGGAGGACUCCCCCCAAAUUCAUUGUUUGCUAGCAGAGUAAAGCCUCACGUGGUCUGUGCAGCUAGGGCUUCAUUGCAGCAGUUAGGAGCAAUGGAUUGGGUGUACUUAUAGCUCCAGGGGUAGGGCUCAAAAAUCCAGGGGUGAGUCACAACAAAAGAAGCAGAAAGAAGUCUGUAGCAUAACACCAUUGAUGUCAUUGGGAAGCCUCGGACACCCACAAAGCCAAACCACACAUUUUACAAGGACACGGUCAUUCAGGGAUGUGUGUGUGUCAAAUUCAUUAGG